CUUGUUGGUGGGGUAAUGGCCUACCAAGGCGACGACGGGUAGCCGGCCUGAGAGGGUGACCGGCCACACUGGGACUGAGAUACGGCCCAGACUCCUACGGGAGGCAGCAGUGGGGAAUAUUGCACAAUGGGCGCAAGCCUGAUGCAGCGACGCCGCGUGAGGGAUGACGGCCUUCGGGUUGUAAACCUCUUUCAGCACAGACGAAGCGCAAGUGACGGUAUAUGCAGAAGAAGGACCGGCCAACUACGUGCCAGCAGCCGCGGUAAUACGUAGGGUCCGAGCGUUGUCCGGAAUUACUGGGCGUAAAGAGCUCGUAGGUGGUUUGUCGCGUUGUCCGUGAAAACUCACAGCUCAACUGUGGGCGUGCGGGCGAUACGGGCAGACUGGAGUACUGCAGGGGAGACUGGAAUUCCUGGUGUAGCGGUGGAAUGCGCAGAUAUCAGGAGGAACACCGGUGGCGAAGGCGGGUCUCUGGGCAGUAACUGACGCUGAGGAGCGAAAGCGUGGGGAGCGAACAGGAUUAGAUACCCUGGUAGUCCACGCCGUAAACGGUGGGUACUAGGUGUGGGUUUCCUUCCUUGGGAUCCGUGCCGUAGCUAGCGCAUUAAGUACCCCGCCUGGGGAGUACGGAAU
This 633-nucleotide ribosomal RNA is filed under the name uncultured Actinomycetes bacterium. Its description in RNAcentral is "bacterial SSU rRNA". It matches the Rfam family "Bacterial small subunit ribosomal RNA", at positions 245 to 888 of the family's 1533-position model. Lineage: Bacteria; Bacillati; Actinomycetota; Actinomycetes. The record is from RNAcentral.